AAAUGCUAAAAUGACUUACAUUGUGAAACGGAGGGAGUAGUAUGUUUUGACACGGGUAAAGAAAGAAAAUAGCAGUUUGGGCUGGGCCUGGCCCAGUUAGUUGCUUGGGCCAAAAUCUGAUGAGAUCGAAAACUGAGGAGGAAAAAAAAUCCAAUCCAUCCAUUUCCUUUCCAGUGGUUUCGCGAUGGCGAGCACGCCGGAGCCGGAGACGACGGUGGGAGGCUACGAGCUGCGGGAGCGGCUGGGCGGCCGGCCGCCGUCCACGGUGGUGUGGCGCGCCGUGGAGCGGUCGAGCGGAUCCCCCGUGGUGGUGAAGCAGGUGCGGCUGACUGGCCUCCCCAGCACCCUCCGCGACAGCCUCGACUGCGAGGUCCGCUUCCUCGCCGCCGUCACCCACCCCAACAUCAUCCGCCUCCUCGACCUCAUCCAGACCCAGAGCAACCUGUACCUUGUCCUGGAGCUGUGCGAGGGAGGAGACCUGGCGGCCUACAUCCAGCGCAACGGGAGGGUAGAGGAGCGCGUCGCCAGCAAUUUCAUGAGACAGAUCGGAGCUGGCUUGCAAGUGCUCCGCAGACACCAUAUCGUCCAUAGGGACUUAAAACCCGAGAAUAUCCUGCUCUCUUCUCCUGACAGCAAUGCGAUCCUCAAGAUAUCUGAUUUUGGCCUGUCAAGAGUUCUUCGUCCCGGGGAAUACACAGAUACAAAUUGUGGCACUUGUUUGUACAUGGCCCCAGAAGUUAUGCUGUUUCAGAAGUAUGAUGGUGGGGUAUGUUGUAGAUUUGUGGAGUAUCGCCGCGAUUCUCUUCGAGCUCUUGAAUGGCUAUCCACCAUUCCGUGGUAGAAGCAAUGUCCAGCUGCUUCAAUGCAUAAACCGAACCGUGUCUCUUCCAUUCUCAGAAGUCGUUAUUUCCAAGCUACGUCCUGAUUCUAUUGAUAUAUGCACCAGACUUCUGUGUAGCAAUCCAGUGAAAAGGUUGUCCUUCCAAGAGUUCUUCAGCCACAGCUUCCUCAGACCAUAGACGCCUUACUGAAGAGCCUAUGCAAGCUUAGCAAUAUCAUCUGAAGUUCAGGAUUAGUUGAAUUGUUUGUUUGUUGUACUUGGACAUAUGCAGGUACCUCUUUGUGUUCAAAACCUUGUUUUCCUGUAGUCUUCUCUGUAGCCUGUAGACUUUUUACACGAAAAAUGUGAAUAUAAGUUGGGAGUUCUGUACACA
This is an RNA transcript of Oryza sativa Japonica Group (Japanese rice), 1214 nucleotides long. It is a transcript of the gene named serine/threonine-protein kinase ATG1t, with no coding region annotated. Lineage: Eukaryota; Viridiplantae; Streptophyta; Magnoliopsida; Poales; Poaceae. The record is from RefSeq and is a predicted model, not a curated record.